GUUCUACUUGGAAACCUUUCUGAUAGUGAAACAUACUGUUGUAGGGAUCUACAUAUAACCUUAUAAUCAUCCACUCAUCUAUACACUGAGCAGUCUGUGGUUGUGGAUUUAAUACAUCCAUAGUGGUCAUGGACACUCCCUAUUCAAAUAGAGUCGGGUAUAAACAGCAUGUUCUUGGCUGUUCAGGUUUCCAGUGAGCUCUGUGAUUGAUAACACUCCCAUACACUUUAAAUCUGGGUGAAGCAGAACUCGGAGAAGGAUGAUUUUAGGACAUUGUAUUUUAUUUGUUCUCAUUUCAUAUUCUUAUGGACAGUCCCUGACCUCCUCUGCUUCUGUGGUGAAGAGACCUGGAGAGUCAGUCACUCUGUCCUGUACUGUCUCCGGAUUCUCAAUGAGCAGCUACUACAUGCACUGGAUCCGUCAGAAACCAGGAAAAGGACUGGAGUGGAUCGGAUACAUUGACGGUGGCACUAGCACAACAUUCGCUCAGUCUCUGCAGGGCCAGUUCUCCAUCACUAAAGACACCAAUAAAAACAUUCUGUACCUAGAAGUGAAGAGUCUGAAAGCUGAAGACACGGCUGUUUAUUACUGUGCACGAGACUCACAUUGA
This is a non-coding RNA of Ictalurus furcatus (blue catfish), 610 nucleotides long. The record is from the annotation of a RefSeq genome assembly. Lineage: Eukaryota; Metazoa; Chordata; Actinopteri; Siluriformes; Ictaluridae.